GACGAACCGAGCGAACGUUGUUCGGAAUCACUGGGCUUAAAGGGCGCGUAGGCGGGUGCUCAAGUCUGUGGUGAAAUCCUCCGGCUCAACCGGAGAACUGCCAUGGAUACUGGGUGCCUCGAGGGUGGUAGGGGUAUGCGGAACUAUCGGUGGAGCGGUGAAAUGCGUUGAUAUCGAUAGGAACUCCGGUGGCGAAGGCGGCAUACUGGACCACUUCUGACGCUGAGGCGCGAAAGCCAGGGGAGCGAACGGG
This 253-nucleotide ribosomal RNA is filed under the name uncultured bacterium. RNAcentral describes it as "partial 16S ribosomal RNA". It matches the Rfam family "Bacterial small subunit ribosomal RNA", at positions 524 to 776 of the family's 1533-position model. The record is from RNAcentral. RNAcentral also lists the same sequence under 1 other name.